UAGCUAAAAUACAGAGCAUGGUUGGAGUAGAAACAUGAAACAGUUGAUAGGCAAAGUAAAAUGUAUACUUUAUAGUAAUGUUUAGAUAGGUAAAAUGCCUAAUACCGUUGGAGAUGCUCUAAUAACACUAAUUUUUCACUUCUAGGAAUGAAAUUAAGCAGAGGAAGAAUUCCUGGCAAGAUGGAGUGUUGGACACUAAUUGCCCUAUCCCUCCAAACUCGAACUUUACUCACAAGUACCAAACCAAAGAUCAAAUUGGAACCUUCACAUACUUUCCAAUCAACUCGAAUGUACAAAGCAGCUGAGGUGGACCGAUCCAGUUUGGAAAGUCGUUCAGUUCCCGCAGCAACCCACAAAUGUGGAAUUUAGGUUUUAUGUGAUAAGGUACAUGAAAGACCUCAUUAGAGAUCAAAGCAUCCUAAGAAAAUAAAGUUUCAAUGGAAAAAAGACUUACACAGAAACCAAACUUGAUAAAGUGCGAGUUGAAUGGAUUAAUUUCGUCCUAAAAAAUAUGAGUUGAAAUCCAACAUCAGAUGAAGAGUCAGUGUGAUGAGAAAAGGUCAGAAAUUGCUUGGAGUGAUGUAAAAUAUGGUCAAAGAAUUCAAGAACUUUGUGCUUCA
This is a long non-coding RNA of Camellia sinensis, 620 nucleotides long. RefSeq lists it as uncharacterized. NCBI's taxonomy places the organism in Eukaryota, Viridiplantae, Streptophyta, Magnoliopsida, Ericales, Theaceae. The record is from RefSeq and is a predicted model, not a curated record.